Molecule: long non-coding RNA, 721 nt
Organism: Capra hircus (goat)
Lineage: Eukaryota; Metazoa; Chordata; Mammalia; Artiodactyla; Bovidae
Exons: 2
Source: RefSeq, a predicted model, not a curated record
AUUUCUUUUUGAGAUUGCAAGCGCAUGGAAUUUGGGAUGGGAAACAAGUGCAUCGUGCCACUCCUGGGAUAUUUCCCCUGGGUGGAGCUGCCUGGUCCUUAAAAAAGGAGUCUCCAUCACAGUGCUGUCAUUGUCGUGACAGUCAGAAUUGUUCUUUGGAGCCUCUGAUUCCUUGAGACCCAGGAAGGAUGUCUCACCAACAGCAUCCGCAUCCGCAUCCGCAUCCGCAUCCGCAUCCACAGCAGCAUCAGCAUCACCAUCACCAUCAGUGCAAGGAGCCCUGCCAUCCACCUCCAAAAGUGUGCCCACCGAAGUGCCAUGAGCCUUGCCCACCUCAUCCAUGCCCACCUCCAUUGAGCCAGAAGAAAUGCCCUCCUGUGCCACCAUGCCCACCAUGGGAGCAGAAGUGUCCACCCAAGUGGAAGUAACAGCACCAGAUUUCAUCUGGACCAAGAAACAAGAUCCAGGCUCUUCCACUGUCCUCCCUUCAGCCAUGGUGACAGACUGUAUCUUCCUUAGUCUCCCUCCUCAACUGACAGCUGACAGAGUAAAGGCCUGGUUGCAGAAGCUGACACCACGUUGUUGGAAGACAAGCUGCAGGAUCAUUGCUUGAUCUCUCUAUGCCAUGUGCCCGUCUGCAAUCCGCGUUGUGAUCUCUACCCCAUGAGCAAUUAGUGUCUAUUCCUUUGCUUCUCCAAUAAAGCAAAUUCAUAGCCCAUUA